RNAcentral lists this ribosomal RNA (473 nucleotides) under uncultured bacterium. RNAcentral's name for it is "bacterial SSU rRNA". It matches the Rfam family "Bacterial small subunit ribosomal RNA", at positions 335 to 798 of the family's 1533-position model. The record is from RNAcentral.
ACUCCUACGGGAGGCAGCAGUGGGGAAGUAUUGCACAAUGGGCGCAAGCCUGAUGCAGCCAUGCCGCGUGUAUGAAGAAGGCCUUCGGGUUGUAAAGUACUUUCAGCAGUGAGGAAGGUGGGUAUGUUAAUAGCAUACUCAUUUGACGUUAGCUGCAGAAGAAGCACCGGCUAACUCCGUGCCAGCAGCCGCGGUAAUACGGAGGGUGCGAGCGUUAAUCGGAAUUACUGGGCGUAAAGCGCAUGCAGGUGGUUUGUUAAGUCAGAUGUGAAAGCCCGGGGCUCAACCUCGGAAUUGCAUUUGAAACUGGCAAACUAGAGUACUGUAGAGGGGGGUAGAAUUUCAGGUGUAGCGGUGAAAUGCGUAGAGAUCUGAAGGAAUACCGGUGGCGAAGGCGGCCCCCUGGACAGAUACUGACACUCAGAUGCGAAAGCGUGGGGAGCAAACAGGAUUAGAUACCCUGGUAGCUCUGC